GUAGGGUGCGAGCGUUAAUCGGAAUUACUGGGCGUAAAGCGUGCGCAGGCGGUUCGCCAAGUCAGGUGUGAAAUCCCCGGGCUUAACCUGGGAAUUGCGCUUGAAACUAGCGGGCUUGAGUGCGGCAGAGGGGGGUGGAAUUCCACGUGUAGCAGUGAAAUGCGUAGAGAUGUGGAGGAACACCGAUGGCGAAGGCAGCCCCCUGGGUCGACACUGACGCUCAUGCACGAAAGCGUGGGGAGCAAACAGGAUUAGAUACCCUGGUAGUCCACGCCCUAAACGAUGUCGACUAGGUGUUGGGGAAGGAGACUUCCUUAGUACCGCAGCUAACGCGUGAAGUCGACCGCCUGGGGAGUACGGUCGCAAGAUUAAA
Molecule: ribosomal RNA, 373 nt
Filed under: uncultured bacterium
Lineage: Bacteria
Description: bacterial SSU rRNA
Rfam family: Bacterial small subunit ribosomal RNA
Source: RNAcentral